Molecule: ribosomal RNA, 253 nt
Filed under: uncultured bacterium
Lineage: Bacteria
Description: partial 16S ribosomal RNA
Rfam family: Bacterial small subunit ribosomal RNA
Source: RNAcentral
UACAGAGGGUGCAAGCGUUAAUCGGAAUUACUGGGCGUAAAGGGCGCGUAGGCGGUCUUCUAAGUCUUGUGUGAAAUCCCUCGGCUCAACUGAGGAACUGCACGGGAUACUGGAAGACUUGAGUUCGGGAGAGGGAAGCGGAAUUCCGGGUGUAGCGGUGAAAUGCGUAGAUAUCCGGAGGAACACCGGUGGCGAAGGCGGCUUCCUGGACCAACACUGACACUGAGGAGCGAAAGCCAGGGGAGCAAACGGG